GGCCUUGUGGCCUAAUGGAUAGGGCGUCGGACUUCGGAUCCGAAGAUUGCAGGCCCGAGUCCUGCCAGGGUCG
Molecule: non-coding RNA, 73 nt
Organism: Angiostrongylus cantonensis (rat lungworm)
Lineage: Eukaryota; Metazoa; Nematoda; Chromadorea; Rhabditida; Metastrongylidae
Source: Rfam